RNAcentral lists this long non-coding RNA (1238 nucleotides) under Gallus gallus (chicken). Its description in RNAcentral is "lncRNA (ENSGALG00010009773.1)". The record is from RNAcentral. Lineage: Eukaryota; Metazoa; Chordata; Aves; Galliformes; Phasianidae.
GUCUGAUUGGACGAGAUCCCAAACUGGGCGGGGUCUGAGCUGGGGGGGCGGGGCCGAAUUAGAUAAUACCGCAAAUCGGGCGUGGCUGGACAGAUGGGCGGGGCUUAAAAGAGCGGUGUCUGAUUGGACGUUGCUGCAAACUGGGCGUGGCCCGACGGGGGGGGGGGGCUUAACGGGGCGGGGCCUGAUUGGACGUUAGCGCAAACUGGGCGUGGCUGGACUAAUGGGCUGGUCCCGAUCGGGGGAGGGGCCUGAUUGGACACUGCCGCAAAGUGGGCGGGGCCAAAACGGAGGGGCGGGGCGGGGCAUAAUCGGGGCGGGGCGCGAUUGGGCGUUAAUCAAAGUGGGCGGGGCCAAAGCGCGCGGGGGGGCGGGGCCGGAUUGGACAUUGCGGCAAAGUGGGGCGGGGCCUGUCAUGGGCGUGGCUUGAGAGGGCGUGGCCUGAUUGGAUGUUGCCUGAAGGGGGCGGGGCCUGAAGGGGUCCUGCACACCACCAUUACAGCCCAGUGCCACCAGUACCGCCAGUAUCACCAGUGCCACCAGUAUGACCAGUACAACCCAGUACAGCCCAGUGCCACCAGUGCCACCAGUAUCACCAGUACAACCCAGUACAGCCCAGUGCCACCAGUACCACCAGUAUCACCAGUAUGACCAUUAUCACCAGUGCUCCCAGUGUCUCCAGAGCUCCCAGUACCACCAUACAAUCCAGUGCCACCAGUACCACCAGUAUGACCAGUACAACCCAUGCCACCAGUAUCACCAGUGCUCCCAGUACCACCAGUGCCACCAGUAUGACCAGUACAACCCAGUACAGCCCAGUGCCACCAGUACCACCAGUAUCACCAGUAUGACCAGUAUCACCAGUGCUCCCAGUGUCUCCAGAGCUCCCAGUACCACCAGUAUCACCAGUACCACCACCAGUACAACCCAGUGCUCCCAGUAUCACCAGUGCCACCAGUAUGACCAGUACAACCCAGUACAGCCCAGUGCCACCAGUAUCACCAGUGCUCCCAGUAUCACCAUACAACCCAGUGCCACCAGUACCACCAGUAUCACCAGUAUGACCAGUAUCACCAGUGCUCCCAGUGUCUCCAGAGCUCCCAGUACCACCAGUAUCACCAGUAUGACCAGUACAACCCAGUGCCUCCAGUGCUCCCAGUACAACCAGUACCACCAGUGCCACCAGUAUCAUCAGGGCUCCCAGUACCACCAGUGCCACCAGUAUCACCAGUACAACC